UGGGGCUGGGGUAGCUGAGGGCUCUUUGGGGGAUGGAGGAGUGGCUGAGAGCUCUUUGGGGGAUGGAGCUGCAGGGGCCCCUUUGGGGGCUGGGGUAGCUAAGG
This is a long non-coding RNA of Phyllostomus discolor (pale spear-nosed bat), 104 nucleotides long. RefSeq lists it as uncharacterized. NCBI's taxonomy places the organism in Eukaryota, Metazoa, Chordata, Mammalia, Chiroptera, Phyllostomidae. The record is from RefSeq and is a predicted model, not a curated record. The transcript has 3 exons.